Molecule: long non-coding RNA, 2030 nt
Organism: Gadus chalcogrammus (walleye pollock)
Lineage: Eukaryota; Metazoa; Chordata; Actinopteri; Gadiformes; Gadidae
Exons: 4
Source: RefSeq, a predicted model, not a curated record
GCAAUUCUAUGCACUACGAUUUUAGGUCAUUGCAAUGUGGUUUUAUUCUGUGCAAUAUAAUCUGAAAUAUGUACUCGGACAAUUGCAGUUGGCCAAUUGGGGAGUAUAGUCGACCUUUGGCUAUAAGAUGUGUAUGUAAACAUACUGACGGUACAGCAAAUGCAACUGUGUUGGGAGCGUUUCACCUGGUAGCCUGGAAGCUAGUUUGCUCCAACGCAACUGUGUUGGGAGCGUUUCACCUGGUAGCUUGGAAGCUAGUUUGCUCCAACGCAACUGUGUUGGGAGCGUUUCACCUGGUAGCUUGGAAGGUAGUUUGCUCCAACGUAACUGUGUUGGGAGCGUUUCACCUGGUAGCCUGGAAGCUAGUUGCUCCAACGCAACUGUGUUGGGAGCGUUUCACCUGGUAGCUUGGAAGGUAGUUUGCUCCAACGCAACUUUGUUGGGAGCCUUUCGCCUGGUAGCUAACCUGUGUGUUGUAUUUAUUCAUAUUACUUAAUUGUUUAGCAUCUGCAUUAGCUAGCUAUAGCUGCUGUGUACGGGGAAUGGGUUAGCCUAGCGAUUUUUAGUACUUGCACUUGGUCCUAUGAACAUCAACACCGGCAAAUUCAUAUUUGUAGUACUGCAAAUUUAAAUUUUUGACAAAUUUUCCAUUUCAAUAUUUUGUCAAAUUUCACAAAGUCCAUUCCAAGAUAUCUACAGACUUCAGCAAUGGAGGCAAGUAAGGUUUAUCACUUUCUAUGGCAAUUUACUUGAGUUAAAUUAUUUGCUCUAUAAAAACAUAUGGUUAUCACUGUACCAUAAUCAUCUUGCUAGAUAUGCCUCAUGCUGUCCUUUAUAUUACUUAUAUGCAAGGAAUUUAAGCAUUGACAAUUAUUUAUGAACGUUGAACCAUGAAAGAAUUGAAUUAUUUUUGUUCAGGGGUGGGUUUGCCCCUGAACAUUUAAUUUCAAGAUCAGUGUUCUACAGCGUUUGUCAAAUUCAGGACUGGCGCUGGAAGCUGUAGGUGGAGGGAAGACCAGGAAGGGUGCAGCUCUGCAGAUGCUGAAGGUGUGCCAAAGGGUCACGUGUGUUCCUGAAGGGACUGAGGCGACGCAGUCGGAGGUCCCGGCGGUGGCGGUCAGCGGGAGGUGUCGAGACCAACCAGCUCCUCGUCCAGGAAAGGUCACGAUGGAAGAGCAGAUGGCUGUGCAGUUGCCAUGGUGCAGAGACCCAGAGUAUGAUGACCGAACAAUGGAUCUACAACGAUGGCCUACUCCCCAUCCACCCUGAGGAUCCCUGGCUGCACCUACAAUCCAAUCUACCCCAGACAUAACCACUUGGAGCUCAACAACUCCUACAACUCCUCCUGCCUCCUACACACCAUACUGUUACCACUUUACCAUUUUAACUUUAAAAAAAAAAAGUACUGUAAUUCACACCAUGUUGUAGGAAAAGCAUGUUUAGCUCAAUGAUUUAUACAUUCUAUUUCUGUGACCCCAACUAUUGUAUUUCUAACCCAGUUACCUCUGAACCCUCUUUCUAAGGGAGCGACUAAAGGGACAAAGCUGGAGCUAACCUGAGCUUAACAAUCGUUCUUUCAAAUGUCCUAAAUUGAAACAUAUAAAAUGCCUAAAGUAACUUGUCUAACAAAACAAAAAGCCAACCUAAUACCCAAACUUAACCAUCUAACUCUAAAGAUCUCAAAUGCCUAAACUCUCUUACCUUAAACGAGUACCUAAACCGAACCAUUUAACUAAACAUCUCAAAGGCAUAAACUCGCUUACCUCAACCUAACCUAAUACCCAAACUUAACCAUCUAACUGAAGAGCUCAAACACCUAAACUCUUACCUUAACCUAGUACCUAAACUGAACCAUCUAACUAAACAUCUCUAAUAACUAAACUCUUUCCUAAUACCUAAACAAUCUUUAAUGCAAUCACUAAUGCCUAAACUUAAACAAACACCAAUAAUAAAAGUUAAGCAUCCUUAAUCUUAAACCCAAACCAGACUUGUCCCUGGGUCGCUCCACUUUGUGUCUUUGAAGGCAUCUC